GUGCUCACUUCAGCAGCACAUAAACUAAAACUGGAAUGAUACAGAGAAGAUUAGCAUGUCCCCUGCACAAGAAUAAUACACAAAUUUGUGAAGGAUUCCAUAAUUUU
Small nuclear RNA from Pteronotus mesoamericanus, 107 nucleotides. The record is from RefSeq and is a predicted model, not a curated record. NCBI's taxonomy places the organism in Eukaryota, Metazoa, Chordata, Mammalia, Chiroptera, Mormoopidae.